GUACUCUUCUCUCCCAAUCUAGUCUGCAGCCGCUCUUUCACCUAAAUUUCAUACUUGGCUGGGCAUUGGCACUUGGAUGUCCUACAGACCCUUCAAAUUCAGCAUGCUCCUUUUGUGCCUUGGCUUGAGAAUUCAGACUGCUUUCCAGGGCACUGUCAUUCCACUAUCAUCUUCUACUUUCAAACAGUAAGGCUUCCUAACUUGUUUCAUGUCCCCAAUCUCAGCCACUUCCUCACUUCCUUCCACCACUGUCAGAGUUGGUUUUUCAAAAAUGAAAAUAUGUUCAUGUUCACCUCCCUUUCUAAAACCUAUUGGUGAUUCCAUUGCCCUCAGAAUCAGUCCACCGUAGCAUUGCAUAAAAGAUGCGUUCUUGAUCUGGCCCUGCUUACUUUUCCUGCAUCACCUUUUUGCCACAGCACCACACAGUGCCUAGUUUUCUGAAAGAAAUUUCCUUUUGUCUGUUGCCUCCUGCACUUUGCCUCUGCUCUUCCCCUACCUGCCUUUCUCUCUCUGCCCAUCUUUCCACUUUCCCCUACUCUUGGUUAACUUUUUUGAAUCUCUCAGAUCUCAUCUCUCACAAGUUGGUUGAGGAGCCUUUUCUCUCUGCUUCCAUAAGCAUUCUGUACUUAUUCCUAUUACAGCCAGCAUUUAUCAUAGUACAUUGUAAUUGUCCCUUGUCUGUUUUCUCCCCUUAAAUGGUAAAACUCGAGAAGAACAGCAGUGUCUUACCACUGUGCCCUCAGGAUCUAGCAUCUACAUUUGUUUUAAUGGAUGAAUUAAUAUACCCUUGGUUAUAAGAAAGAUAUUUUCUUUUCUUCACUGUAGUGGAACUAAAGCUGGGCUACAAUUAGCCUUUGGAAUCCAUAUCAUAUUCCAACCUUAUUGGUGAGGUUUCAGCCCUCUGAAAAGCUAAAUAUAUAAACUCUUGGACCUUUGAAAUAAGUAGAAUAGUCCUUUUCCAGUCUAGUGAGUUGUAAUAAGGAAACAUAAAUUGUCCAAAGUCUUAAGUGUUUAAAAAGAACCUUACCUUCAAUAAUUCUAUGAAAAUUCCUAGGAAAAUUUUCUGAGUUAUCUUUUUUCCUUUAGAGCCUGGGAAAAGAUUUUUUCCUUUCUUUCUUCAGGCUGUGUGUGUAAUUCUUUUCUUUACUCAGGCAUCUGGUUACAGUGACUUUGAAUUAAUUAUAACGAAUACAUGAGAAACAAAAGAAUCAAAUGACCUUUGUUAUACAAAUACAUUUGUACUUAAAUGUUGCCUAAGAACAGGUGGCUGAAUCUCAGAAGACCCACAAAUUUAUCUGGUGAGCAAAUCGUGAAUACAAAACAUUAUCUUACUAUUGUUUGUGUUCUAGAUAUAAUGCCUAAAAUUCCAAUUAACAUAGUUGUUAAUUAUCCUACUACCACUGAUACAAAUAGCUUUUAAAUCUACCUUUGUUACUUAUUUGCAGAGGAACAUAGAAUUUUAAUGUUCAUGAAUGCUGGCAAUGAGUUGAAAGAAGGGUAGUAAUGCACUUAAAAACCUCUCUAACACAACUCUGUGUGUAUUCUUUGAAAAAAAAUGUGUGUAUAUUCUCUGUUACCUUCUUGGUGACUACCCAUUUUGUAGAUUGAACCUGGGUUCUCUGCUCAGUGCCUUUUUCACUGAUUGGCCACUUUCUGGUCCACAUCAGCCUCUGGUCUCUUCUUCCCAUAAGAUUCCUUCUUAGAAGUCAUAACCCUGUGAUGGUUAUCUUUAUUUCCUUGCCUUUACAUCAUCAUCAGGGGUAGGCAUAUUUUUAUCUACUCUUAAUUGCUUUCCUCUUGAUAUCUGUUAGUAUCAGAAAAGCCAGUCAAACCUAACAGGAUCUCAUCUAUUUUUCUGUUCUUGGUAUGCUUCUAAUUUCACUGUUCAUACUUCCUCAAAGUAUGCAUUCUCAUAGCUUUGAUCUUUUUUUUUUUUAAGAUUUUAUUUAUUUAUUCAUGAGAGAGAGAGAGAGAGAGAGAGGAGAGAGGCAGAGACACAGGCAGAGGGAGAAGCAGGCUCCAUGCAGGGAGCCGGAUGUGGGACUCAAUCCCGAGUCUCCAGGAUCACGCCCUGGGCUGAAGGUGGUGCUAAAUCACUGAGGCGCCCAGGCUGCCCUGAAACCAUUUUUCUGAACCAUUUCCUUAAGCAACAUUGUUAGGAAGAGUAAUAACCCAUUCUCUUUUCAGUCCUCCCUUAAUAGAUUUCUCUUGGUCUCUGUUUGUAACUUCAUUAUUAAUAUGUAGCAUAGUUAAAUUGAAUAAAAUGAAUUUCUUAAAAUUCUAAUCAAUAAAUCAAAACUUAAUUUGGUUAGGUGUUAGGUGUUAGGUGUUUGGUUAGGAGGAGCAGGAACAAGCCAAGAUAUGAGUUUGAGCUUUUCCAAGAGUUUAUUUUUAAAGCAUGAUUAACCAUAAAAGGGAAACAUCUCAGUUGCUUUGUGCUGGAUUUUUCAGUUAGACAUGCAACUCUCUUUGAAAUCCAUGUGAGCCAAGUUUACAAACAUAGUUGCAGGUCUUUGACAUAUUCUUGUUAUUGAUACUGUUCUAGUAAAAGGAAGAACACAUUUAUAUAUGUUUAUUCUAAGAGAACUAUGCUUAUAUGUGAUAAUAUCGUAACUACCAAAACAUAGACCUUCUCAUCAACUGCUGCUUACCUUAAUUGCCAUACAAGGCCACUGAGUUGGCAAGCUGAGCAUGAGAGAUGAACCUGUGAAUACUUUUACUAUUUCUACAACAAAUUGAGUCUUUCUGAACAUCCAUGAGUUGAUCUGUCAUUUGCCAUUUAAAUAAAAGUCUGCAUUUAAAUUAGAGGAUUACUUUGUGGUCUUUCAAAAUGUUCCUUUUCCCACAUAUUUUUAUCAGUAUCAGUUUGCUUUUCUGUCUGCUACCUGGUGGGAUUAUCUGUCUCUAAGGUAGGUGCUUGUUUGUUGCUUUUGUUUUUGAAAUUUAAGAAAUAGUAUUUGUAUUUUGACAGUUCAGAUAUUUUCUUAAUACUGAUAUGAACAUUGAAUAUAAUUAUACUUGAAUAGUAUAAGAUUUAUGAAGUUGGCAGUAGAAAACCACUAAAAGAUACCCACAAUUUAAGCUUAAUGAAUCUAAAUCAUUUGAUUUUUCAUUCUACUAUGUUCAAUGUUUAAUAAGCUAUUUUUUGUUAUAGUAUAGUCAUGUAUACUAGAAAAGCUGUUGUGAGUUGCUGCUACCUACAUCAUACAUAAAGUUAUAGAAAUAAUCAGAUUGGAAUGUUCUGACAUUAAUUGAUAAGGUCCAGAGUUUAUUAUUUCCAAUUGUACUGUUGAUUUAACUCUGGAAGUUUGUGUGUUAAAUUCCUUUUUUUUUUUUUUCACUAAGAAAUUUUGUCUUUAUUUUAACAUUCAGCUGAAGAGGUGUAAUCUUUAACAAAAUUAUAAUUUUAAAAAUUAGGUUGUGAAUAUUUAGCAUGCUCUGGUCCUAAACAAUGUAAUUGUGUUUGCAGUGAAUAAAUUGUUAACCUAAAAUAGAAAGAACUCUUACAUGAAUUAGGAUAGUUUUUUUUUUUCCAAAUCCUCAGCCAGCUGUGAACAUACAACUAAAUACUAUUACAGUUCACAGAGAAAACAGUAUAUUGUGUGCUAAUAUAUUUUUAGGAGCUUUUACAUGAUUGUUUUUGGAGUGGGAAAAUACAACUUAAAGAAGUAGACAGGGAUCCCUGGGUGGCGCAGCGGUUUAGCACCUGCCUUUGGCCCAGGGCGCGAUCCUGGAGACCCGGGAUCGAAUCCCACGUCAGGCUCCCGGUGCAUGGAGCCUGCUUCUCCCUCUGCCUGUGUCUCUGCCCCUCUCUCUCUCUCUCUGUGACUAUCAUAAAUUAAAAAAAAAAAAAAA
Molecule: long non-coding RNA, 3855 nt
Filed under: Canis lupus familiaris (dog)
Lineage: Eukaryota; Metazoa; Chordata; Mammalia; Carnivora; Canidae
Description: lncRNA (ENSCAFG00000050926.1)
Source: RNAcentral